Gymnogyps californianus (California condor) is the source of this 2319-nucleotide RNA transcript. It is a transcript of the gene named proline rich and Gla domain 3, with no coding region annotated. The record is from RefSeq and is a predicted model, not a curated record. NCBI's taxonomy places the organism in Eukaryota, Metazoa, Chordata, Aves, Accipitriformes, Cathartidae. The transcript has 2 exons.
UGGUCCAGCUUGUCCUGCUCGUUGGAGCUGGGGGAGGUGGUUAGGAAUUUGUGUGUGGAAAUAAAAAUAAGCGUCUGGGAUGCUUGCCCUUCUCGCAGGCAUUGCUCAUGCUUGUAAGCUUGCAUAGACCUGGCUUAUUGUUGCACUGGAAUAAACCAUCUCUGAGCUCUGACACUGGGUGCAUUGGCACAGAUACUUGGAAAAAAGUUAAAGAUAAAAUCUUCCUGACGCAUUAAAUGUGUUGCCCGAUGUGUGAUGUGGGUUAUGGAGCUAGGGGUCCUGACAAAUCUGGUCUUGUAUAUCCUUAUUUCUGUGUCUAUGUUCUCCUGUCUUUCAAAGGGGGAGAAUGCCUGUAACAACGAGCAAUACAGAGGUUUUGUGUGGAAACUGUGGCAAGUUUUCCAUGCUGUGUGUUCUUUUAUCCUGUGGGUUUGGGUCUCUUCAUAAAAACUGAUGACAACAAAAGCAGAUCAGGUGGUCCCUGCUCAGAGCUGAUGCAGCCUGCGAGGGAAUGCAUGGAUCCGGAGGCCUCUCAGCUGCUGUCACAUCCCCCAGGAUGGCUCAGAGAAGCGGGGCUGGGUGUGCAAUUUCUCGAGAAAAGGCCUCUUGAUGUGGGCUGUGGGGCGCAGGAGGUGGCAGACCCCUCCUGUUUAAUUCUGGUGCUCUGCUGCUUUCUCUCUCUCCUGCUUAAACUCCAGACUGAGGUUUGCAAUCUGAGUUUCACAAACUGUUGGAAAGAAGCUGUGUUCUGCCUCUGGAGACAGCUCCAGGCUUGCUUGGCCUCUUGCCACUUUUGGUGCAGGAACCUCAGAAACCACAGGAAACCUGAUGUUGGCAGGGAGAGGUGCUAGAUUUACUGACAACGUGGCUGUUGGUGAGGUGUGGUAGUGCUUGCUGUGGUGGUAUGCAUCAGCCCUUCUGUGUGUCUGGAUGCCUGCCUUUUACGUGGAAUGAGAAAUGCGUUUCUAGCCCCGCUGACCCUGUGAACGGCUCUGUGCUGUCCCUGACCUUGCUCCAGCUGAGCAGAUUCAAGUGCUUUUGGGAUAACUCUGAAUAUCUGAAGUCCUGGACCUGAGAUCAGCACGUGGUUUAGUUCCUGCUGUUUCUACCGUGUUUGUUCCUUCAUCCACAAUAAAUCACUGUGGGAGCUCGUUAGUCCUGUCCCCUCUGUCUCCUGACAGAGUUGUGGCUUUACCAGAGCAAGGUGUCACACAAGGCACGAGGAGAUGAGUUUUCCCAGGAUAGUCUGAUCGGUGGGGCAUCGAGCACAGGGAGAAGACAAAGCGUGAAAAACAAGUGAGUGAAACUCCUCCUGCGAGCAAAGAGGGAUAUACUCUGCUUCUGCAGGACUUUGUUUCACUCUUGUGGGGUUUCAUUUAGUUUAGUUUUGCUUCUGAAGUACACAAGGUGCUUUUCCAGCUGGAGAGCUGUUGUCCUGGGUGUGCAGGGAGCUCUGUCACUCUUGCUGCUGCCCUUAGCUUGGCCGAACAACCUUUAGGAGGUGCAUAUCCUUUUCUUUCCUGCUGUGUUGCUGUGUAGUCAGCUUUAUGGCGGUGGAGAAAACAGUAUGGCCCUGUUUAUUGCAGAUUGUGGGUAGGAGUUGCAGAAGUGAGAACUGGCACGGCUGUGAAGUUGAUUUAAAACAGGAUGACUGCCUUACCUGUAUCCAUCAAUCUCUUGUGGAAGGGAAGAGCACCAGGCUGCUCCCAGGACUUCUGACACGCAGGUCAUCUUGUCUGCUGAUGAGAUAUGGGGACUCUCCUUCAUCCAGUUCUUCCCUUCCUACUUCGCUUGUCUGCAGCCCUCUGGGCUUCUUGGGCAGGGCGCUGGCCCUCCCUGGGCUCGUGCAGCACAAGUAUGGCAGAGACCUGCCCCAGGCUCUCAGAGAGCUGAGGGUGCCCUGAGCCCCUCCAGUCCCUCCAGCCAUGCGAUGAGUGGAGAGGCAGCGUGAGUCCUUGGCUCUCUGAAGAGGCGCUGCUUGGCUGGGAACUGUUGUGGGUCCACCAGACUGCACCUUGCUUUCUGCAUGAAUCUGACCCUGGGCAAUGGAGGUCUUGGGCUUCAGGGGGUGAAAUUUAAGCUGUCAGUGACUCUCCUGUUUUCUUCCCUGCAGGUAGGCAGGAGCCCCCUGUAGCCGAGUGAGGCAGCAUGGCAACCUGCACGGAGGCUGCACGCAGCGAUGUGAUGGGAGCUCAAGGAGGAUGGCAGUUGUGAACGGGGAGAUGUAGAGAUCUCGCUGGGAUCUCGGGAUUUGCUCGGGCUGUCACCGGAGCCAGCUAUGAAGGUGGAGGCAGUAGCCACGCUGGGCAGGAGGAGGAC